Molecule: transfer RNA, 69 nt
Filed under: Ictidomys tridecemlineatus (thirteen-lined ground squirrel)
Lineage: Eukaryota; Metazoa; Chordata; Mammalia; Rodentia; Sciuridae
Also listed under: 1 other name
Description: Spermophilus tridecemlineatus (thirteen-lined ground squirrel) tRNA
Rfam family: tRNA
About the family: Transfer RNA (tRNA) molecules are approximately 80 nucleotides in length. Their secondary structure includes four short double-helical elements and three loops (D, anti-codon, and T loops).
Source: Rfam by way of RNAcentral
GGAAUUGUGGCUCAGUGGUAGAGCACUUGCCUAGCAUGUGUAAGGCACUGGGUUCGAUUCUCAGCACCA